GGCCUAACACAUGCAAGUCGAGCGGAUGAGGGAAGCUUGCUUCCCGAUUUAGCGGCGGACGGGUGAGUAAUGCCUAGGAAUCUGCCUAUUAGUGGGGGAUAACGUUCCGAAAGGAACGCUAAUACCGCAUACGUCCUACGGGAGAAAGUGGGGGAUCUUCGGACCUCACGCUAAUAGAUGAGCCUAGGUCGGAUUAGCUAGUUGGUGGGGUAACGGCUCACCAAGGCGACGAUCCGUAGCUGGUCUGAGAGGAUGAUCAGCCACACUGGAACUGAGACACGGUCCAGACUCCUACGGGAGGCAGCAGUGGGGAAUAUUGGACAAUGGGCGAAAGCCUGAUCCAGCCAUGCCGCGUGUGUGAAGAAGGUCUUCGGAUUGUAAAGCACUUUAAGUUGGGAGGAAGGGUUGUAAGCUAAUAUCUUGCAGCUUUGACGUUACCAACAGAAUAAGCACCGGCUAACUCUGUGCCAGCAGCCGCGGUAAUACAGAGGGUGCAAGCGUUAAUCGGAAUUACUGGGCGUAAAGCGCGCGUAGGCGGCUUAGUAAGUUGGAUGUGAAAGCCCCGGGCUCAACCUGGGAACUGCAUCCAAAACUGCUUGGCUAGAGUACAGUAGAGGGUGGUGGAAUUUCCUGUGUAGCGGUGAAAUGCGUAGAGAUCUGGAGGAAUACCGGUGGCGAAGGCGGCCCCCUGGACAAAGACUGACGC
Molecule: ribosomal RNA, 706 nt
Filed under: uncultured bacterium
Lineage: Bacteria
Description: bacterial SSU rRNA
Rfam family: Bacterial small subunit ribosomal RNA
Source: RNAcentral